GACAGAGGGGGCAAGCGUUGCUCGGAAUUACUGGGCGUAAAGGGCGCGUAGGCGGGUCUUUAAGUCAGGGGUGAAAUCCUGGAGCUCAACUCCAGAACUGCCUUUGAUACUGAAGAUCUUGAGUUCGGGAGAGGUGAGUGGAACUGCGAGUGUAGAGGUGAAAUUCGUAGAUAUUCGCAAGAACACCAGUGGCGAAGGCGGCUCACUGGCCCGAUACUGACGCUGAGGCACGAAAGCGUGGGGAGCAAACAGG
RNAcentral lists this ribosomal RNA (253 nucleotides) under uncultured bacterium. Its description in RNAcentral is "partial 16S ribosomal RNA". It matches the Rfam family "Bacterial small subunit ribosomal RNA", at positions 524 to 776 of the family's 1533-position model. The record is from RNAcentral.